RNAcentral lists this ribosomal RNA (1119 nucleotides) under Albertiniella sp. SMH2436. RNAcentral's name for it is "eukaryotic LSU rRNA". It matches the Rfam family "Eukaryotic large subunit ribosomal RNA", at positions 22 to 1152 of the family's 3401-position model. The record is from RNAcentral. Lineage: Eukaryota; Fungi; Ascomycota; Sordariomycetes; Cephalothecales; Cephalothecaceae.
UGUACCCGCUGAACUUAAGCAUAUCAAUAAGCGGAGGAAAAGAAACCAACAGGGAUUGCCCUAGUAACGGCGAGUGAAGCGGCAACAGCUCGAAUUUGAAAUCUGGCUCCCUUUGGGGGUCCGAGUUGUAAUCUACAGAGGAUGCUUCGGGUGAGGCGCCUACCGAGUUCCCUGGAACGGGACGCCAUAGAGGGUGAGAGCCCCGUAUGGUGGGAGGCCGAGCCUGUGUGAAGCUCCUUCAACGAGUCGAGUAGCUUGGGAAUGCUGCUCUAAAUGGGAGGUAGACUUCUUCUAAAGCUAAAUACUGGCUAGAGACCGAUAGCGCACAAGUAGAGUGAUCGAAAGAUGAAAAGCACUUUGAAAAGAGGGUCAAACAGUACGUGAAAUUGUUGAAAGGGAAGCGCCUAUGGCCAGACUUGCGCCGGGCCGAUCAUCUAGCGGUUUCCGCUGGUGCACUCGGCCCGCUGCAGGCCAGCGUCGGCUGUCUGUCGGGGGGAUAAAAGCACCGGGAAUGUAGCUCCUCUCGGGGAGUGUUAUAGCCCUCUGCAGAAUACCCCCGCGGCGGCCGAGGUCCGCGCCCUUGUGGCAAGGACGCUGGCAUAAUGGCCAUCAGCGACCCGUCUUGAAACACGGACCAAGGAGUCGAGGUUUUGCGCGAGUGUUCGGGUGUUAAGCCCCAACGCGCAAUGAAAGUGAAUGCAGGUGGGAGCCUUCGGGCGCACCAUCGACCGAUCCUGAUGUCUUCGGAUGGAUUUGAGUAAGAGCGUAAAGCCUCGGACCCGAAAGAUGGUGAACUAUGCCUGUAUAGGGUGAAGCCAGAGGAAACUCUGGUGGAGGCUCGCAGCGGUUCUGACGUGCAAAUCGAUCGUCAAAUAUGGGCAUGGGGGCGAAAGACUAAUCGAACCAUCUAGUAGCUGGUUACCGCCGAAGUUUCCCUCAGGAUAGCAGUGUUGAAUUUCUCAGUUUUAUGAGGUAAAGCGAAUGAUUAGGGACUCGGGGGCGCUUUUAAGCCUUCAUCCAUUCUCAAACUUUAAAUAUGUAAGAAGCCCCCGUUGCUUCGGUGAACGGGGGCCUUCGAAUGUACCAACACUAGUGGGCCAUUUUUGGUAAGCAGAACUG